Molecule: ribosomal RNA, 111 nt
Filed under: Acanthosepion pharaonis
Lineage: Eukaryota; Metazoa; Mollusca; Cephalopoda; Sepiida; Sepiidae
Source: RNAcentral
CAACGAUAUCACGUUGAAACACCGGUUCCCGUACGAUCACAGAAAUUAAGCAACGUCGAGCCUGAUCAGUACCUAGAUGGGUGACUGCUUCAGAAUGCCAGCUGUUGUAAG